This 428-nucleotide ribosomal RNA is filed under the name uncultured bacterium. RNAcentral's name for it is "bacterial SSU rRNA". It matches the Rfam family "Bacterial small subunit ribosomal RNA", at positions 33 to 507 of the family's 1533-position model. The record is from RNAcentral.
ACGCUGGCGGCAUGCCUAACACAUGCAAGUCGAACGAACCCUUCGGGGGUUAGUGGCGCACGGGUGCGUAACGCGUGGGGAUCUGCCCUUUGCUUCGGAAUAACAGUUAGAAAUGACUGCUAAUACCGGAUGAUGUCGCAAGACCAAAGAUUUAUCGGCAAAGGAUGAACCCGCGUAGGAUUAGCUAGUUGGUGGGUAAAGGCCUACCAAGGCGACGAUCCUUAGCUGGUCUGAGAGGAUGAUCAGCCACACUGGGACUGAGACACGGCCCAGACUCCUACGGGAGGCAGCAGUGGGGAAUAUUGGACAAUGGGCGAAAGCCUGAUCCAGCAAUGCCGCGUGAGUGAUGAAGGCCUUCGGGUUGUAAAGCUCUUUUACCAGGGAUGAUAAUGACAGUACCUGGAGAAUAAGCUCCGGCUAACUCCGUG